Molecule: ribosomal RNA, 273 nt
Filed under: uncultured prokaryote
Description: partial 16S ribosomal RNA
Rfam family: Bacterial small subunit ribosomal RNA
Source: RNAcentral
GACGUAGGGGGCGAGCGUUGUCCGGAAUUACUGGGCGUAAAGAGCACGUAGGCGGGAACCUAAGUCAGGUGUGAAAGACCGUGGCUCAACCACGGGGUGGCAUUUGAAACUGGGUUUCUUGAGGGCAGGAGAGGAAAGCAGAAUUCCUGGUGUAGCGGUGAAAUGCGUAGAAAUCAGGAGGAAUACCAGUGGCGAAGGCGGCUUUCUGGACUGACCCUGACGCUGAGGUGCGAAAGCGUGGGUAGCAAACAGGAUUAGAAACCCUAGUAGUCC